Molecule: RNA transcript, 2305 nt
Organism: Dromaius novaehollandiae (emu)
Lineage: Eukaryota; Metazoa; Chordata; Aves; Casuariiformes; Dromaiidae
Gene: KHDRBS2
Gene name: KH RNA binding domain containing, signal transduction associated 2
Exons: 12
Source: RefSeq, a predicted model, not a curated record
CCGGGGGCGGGCCACAGGGAGGCGGCCGGAGGCGCGGGGCGAGCCGGCGCCCUCGCAGCCCGCCCCGGCCGCCGCGGCCCCGAGGCGAUGGAGCAGGAGAAAUAUCUGCCCGAGCUGAUGGCCGAGAAGGACAGCCUGGACCCCUCCUUCGUCCACGCCAUGCGCCUCCUGGCCGACGAAAUUGAAAAAUUUCAGGGUUCUGAAGGCAAGAAGGAAGAUGAAGAAAAGAAAUACCUUGAUGUUAUCAGCAACAAAAACAUAAAGCUGUCAGAAAGAGUUCUGAUCCCUGUCAAACAGUAUCCAAAGUUCAAUUUUGUUGGGAAAUUGCUUGGACCAAGAGGAAACUCCUUGAAGAGGUUACAAGAAGAGACAGGCGCAAAAAUGUCUAUCCUGGGGAAAGGCUCCAUGAGGGAUAAAGCUAAGGAGGAAGAACUAAGGAAAAGUGGAGAAGCCAAAUAUGCACACUUGAGUGAUGAGCUUCAUGUAUUAAUUGAAGUGUUUGCUCCACCUGGGGAAGCAUAUUCUCGUAUGAGUCAUGCCUUGGAAGAAAUAAAAAAAUUCCUCGUUCCUGAUUAUAAUGAUGAAAUUCGUCAAGAGCAGCUGAGAGAACUGUCAUAUUUGAAUGGUUCAGAGGAUUCAGCGCGUGGACGGGGCAUUCGAGGAAGAGGAAUCCGUGUGCCACCUGCCGCUCCUUCAAGGGGCCGUGGGGGUGCGAUUCCUCCACCCCCACCUGGACGAGGUGCCCAAGCACCCAGAGGAGCCCCGGUGACGCGUGGAGCACUCCCAGUCCCUCCAGUAGCGAGGGGCGUUCCCACCCCGCGGGCACGGGGCGCUCCGGCUGUCCCCGGCUACAGACCACCCCCGCCACCUUCACAUGAGGCCUACGAAGAAUACGGAUACGAUGAUGGAUAUGCGGGUGAAUAUGAUGAUUCAAGCUAUGAGGCAUAUGACAACAGUUAUGCCACCCAAACACAAAGCAUGCCUGAGUAUUAUGACUAUGGUCACGGAACAAGCGAAGAGGCUUAUGACAGCUACGCACAAGAAGAAUGGGCCACAACCCGUUCCAGUUUAAAGGCACCACCUCCAAGGGACUCACAGGCUUUGGACAGCUAAGUAGCAGAUCUGCUGAGAAGUGUUCAGGCAUGAACAGCAAUUGCAAGACAGCUAACCUGAAGACAUUCAACUGCCUUUUGCUACAUGAAGGUCCUGUUUUCCUCCCUUUGGCAAUUAUACCAAUGUCCUGGAAGAAUUCUCUAAUGCUGACUAACAUCUUCUAUUUUACAUCUGCAAGUAUGGUAGUCUAUAGGUAUUUUAGUAAAUUUUGUUAUUGGUUGUAGUCCCAUUAAGUUUCUGAGGUUCUUAAAUUGCUUCUUGGAGUUUAUUUGUCCUAUAACUCAGGGUAUAAAAGUAGCCCCAUAAACAUUAAUUGAACAGCCAUUAAGCAGUAUGGCUGUUUGUUUUGGGUUGAUAGAGGACAUAAAGCUUCAUACCCUGUGGUGGAAAACAAUUAGAUCUGAUGAUGAACAUGCUAUUAAAUAUACCAUUACCAGACCUCUAUCAGUUUAACUUUACAAAAUAGCAACCAGCUGUAGCCAAACCAUGCACAAGCAAAAGAAAGUCAUAUUUUAAUUGUUAUGUCAUAGCCUGUUAUAAAUAUUGUAGAGUUUCUAAUGUUUUAUGCUAAUGACAGUGACUAAUGGCAGUCAUUAUCUCCAUUCAUUCUCAUAAAAAAUUUCCUCAAGAGAGACUGAUCAUAACUAGAAUGCUAUUUAAAAUUAAACUGUGUUUUUCUAAAAUAGAGACUAUAAAAACACUUAAAUACCAAGAGGUUGGCUAGCUAAUUUAUUUUGUUUUGAGUAUGUUUGACAACUACAGCUGUUAUUAACCGUGCCAUGAGUUGAACUGAUAAUCCUUUUUAGAAAUGUUUUUGGCUUACUAACAUGCAUAUACAUGUCAUGUCUUUGUGUGCUUCCUGCAGAGUGGGACAAAAGGUGAACCUCAUAACGCCCAGAACCUGUGGCCAGAAAAAAAUCUGAUGUUGCCCCUGUAAAGGCUUAGUAUUGAGAAUAUUGAAUUUCUUCAUCCGUUUCAUAUUUCAGUUAUGAAUUCUGCUUACUUGACAGGUACAGGGCACUUCAUUAUGUGCAGGAACUGAAAUGCUUAAAUGGAUGAAGCAGCUAUUUACGUCUGAUAGGAGCUAAGUGGGACAUUAAAUUAAUGCCAAACAAGUUAGUGUGACUUUAAUCAAGAAAAAAAAUCGAAUGAACAGCAAUUUGAAAUACAGCAUUUGGAAAGGUCAAAAUGG